AUACGUAGGGUGCGAGCGUUAAUCGGAAUUACUGGGCGUAAAGGGUGCGCAGGUGGUUUAUCAAGCCGUAUGUGAAAUACCCGGGCUUAACCUGGGAACGGCCUAUGGGACUGAUAGACUAGAGUAUGGCAGAGGGGGGUAGAAUUCCACGUGUAGCAGUGAAAUGCGUAGAGAUGUGGAGGAAUAUCGAUGGCGAAGGCAGCCCCCUGGGUUGAUACUGACACUCAAGCACGAAAGCGUGGGUAGCAAACAGGAUUAGAUACCCUGGUAGUCCACGCCCUAAACGAUGUCUACUAGUUGUUGGGGAAAAUAAAUUCUUUAGUAACGAAGCUAACGCGAGAAGUAGACCGCCUGGGGAGUACGGUCGCAAGAUUAAA
Molecule: ribosomal RNA, 377 nt
Filed under: uncultured bacterium
Lineage: Bacteria
Description: bacterial SSU rRNA
Rfam family: Bacterial small subunit ribosomal RNA
Source: RNAcentral